RNAcentral lists this ribosomal RNA (466 nucleotides) under uncultured bacterium. RNAcentral describes it as "partial 16S ribosomal RNA". It matches the Rfam family "Bacterial small subunit ribosomal RNA", at positions 28 to 507 of the family's 1533-position model. The record is from RNAcentral.
GAUGAAUGCUGGCGGCGUGCUUAACACAUGCAAGUCGAACGGAAAGGCUCCUGCUUGCAGGGGCACUCGAGUGGCGAACGGGUGAGUAACACGUGGGUGAUCUGCCCUGCACUUCGGGAUAAGCCUGGGAAACUGGGUCUAAUACCGGAUAGGACCAUCGUUUAGUGUCGGUGGUGGAAAGUUUUUUCGGUGUGGGAUGAGCUCGCGGCCUAUCAGCUUGUUGGUGGGGUAAUGGCCUACCAAGGCGUCGACGGGUAGCCGGCCUGAGAGGGUGUACGGCCACAUUGGGACUGAGAUACGGCCCAGACUCCUACGGGAGGCAGCAGUGGGGAAUAUUGCACAAUGGGCGCAAGCCUGAUGCAGCGACGCCGCGUGGGGGAUGACGGCCUUCGGGUUGUAAACUCCUUUCGCCAGGGACGAAGCGAAAGUGACGGUACCUGGAUAAGAAGCACCGGCUAACUACGUG